AGAGCCUGUAGCUGCACAGCUGUGCUUCCACCUGGCGUUCAGUACCUCGUGCCCGAGAGCGGAAAAGGGAAAUCGCGAGCGGAGGACCGAUGUGCUGGCCACGUGGGCCCCGCCGGGCCGACUCCGGACCCUGCUGCCGCCCAUUCCUCCGGUGCAAGGGACCUGGAAGUGAUCCCGGUGCCGCUCUGCUCCCACCAGCUAGGGAGCAGAGGCGCGGGAGGGAAGGGGCGUCCCGGGGGUCGCCAGCACGCUGCGGGCAGGGCUGGCAGCCGCCUCCACGCCCCCGCGCUGGAAGCCUCGUCUUUGUAACAUCGAGGUAUCCUGUAACUAGAUGGGUCCUGGCCUGCGGAGGUAGUUUCCCCUGUGAAGCCAGGGACUCAGCCAGGAGCGUGAGGGGACCCGGAUCCUGAGUCUCCAAGCCGCCCACUACCCUCUGCUUUACCGGAUGGAACUCAUCAGUAACUAGGUAUCUUUAAGGGCGGCUCCCUGGCGCGCUCUGAGAGUUACGGAAGUCCCAAAAUGCUUUGACCGAAAACGUCUAAACAGUGAAUACAUAAAGCAAAAAGCCGCGUGGGAAAUUCGAGUCCCUAGGAGCGCCCAGGGGACGCCUCUGGAGGUGGACUGCCACUCACUCCAGGCCACGCUGGAAUGCCCGCACCAGGGAGGCACUGCACUUGAAUUGGGGACACUUUUUUUUUUUUUUUUCAUUUUUACCUUUCAUUCCCUUUUGGACAAUCCAGACAGGAUAUGUCUCUCCCUAGGGUGGGGAUUUCGACUCCUUAGGGUGGGAGUACAGCCGAUGAAGAGUUAAGGAGAGGAGUGGGUAGAUCUAGAUCUAGCCUUGGGUGGGUGGGGGCGGGGUUGGAGGAGCUCAGAGCACUGGCCCAGCGCUGCCCCCAACUUGCUGUGUGCUCUUGGACAAGUUAUCUCCCUUCUCUGGGCUUCAGAUAACCCAAGGAUCCUUACAUAUCUUUAUAGCUACAAAGCCCUGUGAGGUUUUGAAAAACUUCCUUGGUACCCAAAACCAGGUCUGAGGCACAGUCAGUGAAUACCUGUUUAAUGAAUGCAUGCAUAAAUGAAUGAAUGGAUGAUCCAGCUCUUCCUGGAGCAGGCACGACUUCCACAGAAACAGAGCAAACGCUAGCCGUAAGCAGAAAGAACGUUAUAGCUCCAGCGCUGAAUGAGACAUCUUUGAUUCUGUGGUGAUGCGGACUUUGUGCCUCUCUGUGAGGAAUCACUUUGUUCCAAUGACGCAAUUUUCCUCACACUCCGGAAGUGUCCUGCACUGCCAGAAUCGCCCAGCUUCCCGGCACACCUAUCAACCAGUCGUUCCCAGCACUGCCCAGUAUGCAGCCUCCAGGCAGAGGGCCUGGAUGUCUUGGCAGCCCACCCCAAAGCCCAAACUCCUGCCCGCAUGCUGGGAAGGUGAGCCCUUGCCUGGAGAGCCCAGCAGGGGAAAUAGAAGGAGGGAAGGAGGCCUGCUCCUUCCCCGGAGCUCUGCUCUGCGGCUGCAGGAAGACCCGCAGAGGCCCUGGGCAGCAGAACUGUGGACAGCAAGGCUGGAGUUGUGAAACCCAACCACUCAGCUGGAUUCCAGAAGCUCAGGUGGUGGUGACUAAACCUGGCCUUACUUAAAAUGCAUGACUUUAUUGUCUUUCAAUGUAUUUUCAGUAAACUUCAUCCUCUCCAUUACUAUUUUCUUUUCUUCGGAAACAAGCAACAGAUCUUUGUAAAAAAAAUACGU
RNAcentral lists this long non-coding RNA (1744 nucleotides) under Homo sapiens (human). RNAcentral describes it as "non-protein coding lnc-HPCAL1-1:20". The record is from RNAcentral. Lineage: Eukaryota; Metazoa; Chordata; Mammalia; Primates; Hominidae.